Molecule: long non-coding RNA, 231 nt
Filed under: Lathyrus oleraceus (garden pea)
Lineage: Eukaryota; Viridiplantae; Streptophyta; Magnoliopsida; Fabales; Fabaceae
Description: Pisum sativum (pea) long non-coding RNA (PSAT_LNC021758)
Source: RNAcentral
UUUGUUUGGUUGAGUAAACCCAAUGAACUCAAUCUCUACAUCUUAAAAAAACAAAAAAAUAAUAAAAAAAUUAAAACGCAAAAAAUAAUAGCAACAACAUACAACACAAAUUUUUUAACUUAUACUUAUACCUCAAUCACAUCACGGUUACAUUUCACGGAUAACCUCUCAUACUCCUCAUCAUUCACCUUCUUUCGGUCCACCUAAGCCAACCUCUCUUGCUCCUUUUGG